Molecule: long non-coding RNA, 3701 nt
Organism: Planococcus citri (citrus mealybug)
Lineage: Eukaryota; Metazoa; Arthropoda; Insecta; Hemiptera; Pseudococcidae
Exons: 16
Source: RefSeq, a predicted model, not a curated record
UCCAUCGCGUGUGGAUUUUCAACACGUUUUCAUUUGCUCGAACAAUCAACUCACGCCACCGCACCGCUUCAUUGUAGAAAACAAAUCAUCAAGUAUAAUAGAGAUUCGGCAUUCCACGAUUUUGUAAUUUCAUUUUCUUCACAGAUGUAAGGUAUGUGCCUAUGGGAAAGUUAGUUCGGCGUUUGCUUAUGUAUUGAUUAGCUGUAAUAUGGAAUGGUUUGCUUUUAUUUACGAUAUUCUGAUGGCUGCCUACACGCUACUUGUUGAAUUUUAAUCAUCUCAUGUAUUUCACAAUCGCUUUACAAGUCGAUGAUCGUGAUGCGAAAUUUGGAAAACGAAUUUUUGUCGAUGGAUGAUGGAUGUAGAAAACGAAUAUAAACAAAUAGUAGAUUAUGCAACUAGGGAGAUAAUGUGAUUUUCAACAAAUUUUGAGGUUUAUUUCCCGAGUGAAGCGAGGGAAGUAACUCAAAAUGGUUGAAGAUCACAUUAUCUCCCUUGUUCUAUAAAAUAUUUUACGUUUUUAAGGGAGAAAAUCGCUAGUUUGUCCACCGAGCGAUUAGCGAGCGGGAGAUAAUGUAGCGGAUUAUCUCCCUAGAAACGUAAAUGAAAAUUUCGCCACGCAGGUAUUUCACAAUUUUUUUAACAGCUGGAUCAGACGAAUGCGUUGGAUCUCUCCUUCCAUGUCUGCUCAUUUUAUCACCGAUGAAUGGAGAAUGAAUUCGCGUAAAUUUUUGUUUACGAUAUUGAAAACUACAAUGAAGAGAUAUAACUCGAAGCUUUUGCUGGAAAUGUUUAUGGAAUAAGAAAGUGCAAGUUGAAGUCAACAACGAUUCGAUGCGUAAAGAAUUGAAGCAUAUAGGUACCUCAAAAUCGAGAUUCUGAAUAAGGAAACGUUUACCGAAAAUCCAAAGAUCCUAUCAGCUAUUCGGAGUGUCGGAGCAGACUCCCUAAAAUUCUUUUUUUCUUCGUCGAAAUAACUCGAAUUACAUCGCAUGGGAACCUUGGAGAUCGUUCGACUCGAUAUCUACUUACACUGGAGGAAAGAUGAAUAAUGAAAAUUUUUAAAAUUAUUCUAGUCUAUUAGUCGCAUCGUUGCUCGUCGUCAUGCGGCGGUAUGGUAACCGCUGAAAAAGAAGGAAAAAAAUAAGACGCGUCGAAGACCGAACUCUAUUUAUACUACUUGAAAAACUUUCCGAAGAGAUUGGUUGAUUAAGGCUUGAUGGAGAUGAUGCUCGUAUGAUAUUGUCAGAGAAAAAGACCUGUCCUCGUACCUACGGGGCGAAGUUGUUUCUAACUAUUUAUCUUAAUCUGACGAUUAUAGGAUACUAUAGGCUAUAUAGGUACGAGACGACGAUGGUGGCAGUAUUGGUGAAACGAAAGAGGGGAACCAAAAGGUAAUUAUAUUAUUGAAGUGUACGGAAAUUAUCCUGCGGCUGUUUUUUACGAAGAACAGUUCAGUUCCUAUAACAACAGGGCAACGGAAUCUCGAAAUAUUUCAGUUUUUAGAAAACAGCUCAAUCUAUAAACCGCACAGAUAGCUUUUAGGUUAUAAUCCGGUAGGUUGUUCUGUUCGGACGUACGCCCUGGUUACAGUUACGUUAUAAUUGGUUACCGGUGAAAAAGAAGGUGGAGCUUCGAGGUUAUUUUGUUACGAGUUACCGCUCGAAGACGGUGAAAGAUGGAAACCAAUUCUGCUGUGUCGGCUUGUUUACAUUUAAUUCAGUGUCGCCAACUGAUUUCGUUUACAACGCGGAGACUUCAGCGUAAACUUGCUUGCGAAAGAGACGAAGAGAAGGGUCGUUUAGCAUUACAUGUGCGUCUCAUGGCGAAUUCGUCGUCGAUGUUGAUGUUUCGAAAUUACCUGUCAAUGAAAGAAGCUUGGUUGGAUGAUUUUUUGACGGAAUUGAUUAAAUUGCGUAUACUCUAAUCAAGUAUUUUGACCUACGUACGAAGUGAACGACGCUAGGAAAAUAUAUAAGCACCUAGACCUACCUCGAUAGGUGUAUUAUGAAGAAAUACGGCGCCCUUACUGCGUAACAACGUUUAAUUAUUUACAUAGAUAUCACAAAAAUUCUUGGGUACGAUACCGUGCCGUGCCUUUGCCAUGUUCAAAUUAACCCUCCUCGAAGCCGGCGUAAAAAUAUUCAACAAUCGAGCCUUUUCAAAUAUGAUCGCGGCCGCUGUGCCCGCGCCUUUCAGCGUCUUGUAGCUCCUACCGCGCCAAUAAUACUGUGUACAAGCCCGACUGCCAAUGCCAUGGAUUGGAUUGGAUAUACUCGUACGUGCGCUCUCAUUAUACGAUCUAUUCAUCGUACAUGCGUCUGUUACAUUACACCAAUGUAUAGAGUUGACAAGUCAUCGUGCUCAAAAUGUAGGUACAAAACCAUAGCUACUGUCAUAGUUGGCGUUAGCUGUUUUUCCUGUACCUGCAGGCUGCAACAAGAGACCCAGUCGGCUUGUUGAAAUUCUACCUUUAUCUUAUUAAAUUCGAUUUUCUGGAGUGGAUCAGCCUGAUAGGAGUAGAAACGGUCUUUCAAAUGUCACGUUAUUUUUAUUCUGCGAAUCAAAAAAAUCUAAUAUGAGAUAACGUGUCGAUAAGCGUUUAUGAAGAAAAAAUGAAUACCUAUAUACCUAGUUACCUACGAAUAAAAAUGAACUAUAGGAAUGACUUCGAAGAACUAAAUAUGGCGUCCUAAACCUAAAGAAGUUCAUCAUGAUAGGUUCAAAGUUUUUCUUCCUGGCGAGGGAUGUCGAUUUGAAAAAAGUAUCGGAAGCUCAAUUCUCCCCUCGAAGUAAACGUUCCUCAGUGUGUAAAAUGUUAAAGAACCCAGCUAUGAAGCCAUGUUUAAAGAAGCUUGAUUGCUACGUAGAUUCUCUUGCAGAAGGUGCAUUAAAGUUUGUAUACUGUACUUCUACUCGCGCAUGAGGAAGUAAUGGAAUCCCGACAGUUCUCGAAGAAUGCUUUCGCGACGACGUUUUAAUCAAACCAUGAAGGUAUACGCUUUGUUUUGCUCAUCAUCACCGGUGAUCAUCGAAGCUGAUGUAGCUGAGCCAGCUAAAAAUCGCACAACUUCAUGCCAGCUUGAUUGGCUAUUGGGAAUAGAUGUCGUAUAGUAUUGAUUGGAGAUCCCUGAGAGCUUGGUGUGAAAUGUACCAUGACGGGAAUACCCUGUAUCGCUGUGUAUUCUUGCUGUAUUCUCUCAAACGGCGACGAUUUCGUGACAUGACGUGUGCGAAACCUUGACAUAACCUCAAGCUAUGUGAAAAUCGCGUUUAGCUACUAAUUUUUAAAAACUUACGGCACCAAUUACCUACGCAGGUACCUAAUCAUCGAUAUUGUUUUAUGCAAAAUGAACAUGUAUACUGUAUAGAGGCUACACAGCGAGUUGAAUGGUAUCAUUGCAACGCAUACCAAAUUGUUCCCCUUCAACACUAUACAGUCAAGUCAACUAAGUAUAUCUACGUAUUACACUCGCCUUCGCCCUUCUACCAGUUCUACCGGGAAACAUUAUAAGCCGUGUUAAUGUAACCCAACCCGAACACUUUUCUAAUUUAUUAAAACAUAACAACCGUGAAUUUUCAAAAGAAUUUCCAACCUCUAGUUUAAAAUGGGACCCGACUUAAUAAUUGAAUUUGUACCAGAAGUAACACGCACACUGAAUAGGCAAAUCCGAGCUAAUAAUUUUCAUCGUUAAUGUUAC